Molecule: long non-coding RNA, 589 nt
Organism: Drosophila miranda
Lineage: Eukaryota; Metazoa; Arthropoda; Insecta; Diptera; Drosophilidae
Exons: 2
Source: RefSeq, a predicted model, not a curated record
GCGCGUCGCCCUCAGCCCUGGCCACCUAUUGUUCAGUCACUUACAUGGUUUUAUCUUUUGGGGACGUGAAUUCUCUUAGGAUAUUUCCAAUCCCGUUGGGCGCCAAUUAUAUUUCUAAGCAGCUGAACUCUUUGGUUGAUCUGGUCCCUUGCCACGGUCCGUGACCAAUUGUCUUCUCUUCUUUGAAGAUUAUGAUGGGAAGAACUUCCUUCCGUUAUUACCGGCCCUUAAGGCACGAUAACCCAAUUAAAUGAAUAUAUUGACGGCUUAGCCGGAGUUUGAUUAGGAGCGACGCGCUCUUUAUUCAAUUCUAAACUAAAACUUAACUCCCAGAUCCCCAGCUCGCGAACCAUUUAUGCAAGAAUGGAAUUCGCUGAUCCCAGCACAUCCGGCAGAAUCAGGCGACUGCCGUUGGCCAAUGGAGUGAGGGACGGCCCAGGGAAACUGAGCGCUGCAAGAUGUUUAUGUGUGGGGUGACGCAAGAUGAUGAAGUUAAGGUGGUGCGAUAACUUGUAAUAUGUGUUAACUUAUAUAUAUACAUUUAUAUAUAUACACAAUGUAAAAUAUAUACUGACAAAUCUGAAACAAA